CUAGUUGGUAAGGUAACGGCUUACCAAGGCAACGAUGCAUAGCCGACCUGAGAGGGUGAUCGGCCACACUGGAACUGAGACACGGUCCAGACUCCUACGGGAGGCAGCAGUAGGGAAUCUUCCGCAAUGGGCGAAAGCCUGACGGAGCAACGCCGCGUGAGUGAUGAAGGUCUUCGGAUCGUAAAACUCUGUUAUUAGGGAAGAACAUAUGUGUAAGUAACUGUGCACAUCUUGACGGUACCUAAUCAGAAAGCCACGGCUAACUACGUGCCAGCAGCCGCGGUAAUACGUAGGUGGCAAGCGUUAUCCGGAAUUAUUGGGCGUAAAGCGCGCGUAGGCGGUUUUUUAAGUCUGAUGUGAAAGCCCACGGCUCAACCGUGGAGGGUCAUUGGAAACUGGAAAACUUGAGUGCAGAAGAGGAAAGUGGAAUUCCAUGUGUAGCGGUGAAAUGCGCAGAGAUAUGGAGGAACACCAGUGG
This 478-nucleotide ribosomal RNA is filed under the name Staphylococcus aureus. RNAcentral's name for it is "bacterial SSU rRNA". It matches the Rfam family "Bacterial small subunit ribosomal RNA", at positions 245 to 715 of the family's 1533-position model. The record is from RNAcentral. Lineage: Bacteria; Bacillati; Bacillota; Bacilli; Caryophanales; Staphylococcaceae.